CUUAAGGUCAGUGUGCUGCUAUUGGCUGUGGAAUGUACAUGCUCACCAAUAACAAGAGCAGAUAGCCCCUGAUCAUACAGGACAGAGAAAAGCGGAUCGCUUCGCAAACAUCCCGCACAUGGCCCACAGUUCAGAUGUGUUUCUGAACAGGAAUGCUGAAUGUUGACAUUGUCUGUGGCUGGCCCUUCUACGUAAGAGACGCUCCCUUGCCUGUUUGCAAGUCACAGAUCACCCCACGGUGGAUCCACGUCUCAUGGUCCGUCUCAAGAUCCAGUUACAUGUUCUUACUGUGUGUACAUUCUGUCCUUGUGGAAACAGACGCGUUUGGUUACUUGUUAAAAGGAAGUGAAUCUCUGCAUCAGCUGUCAGUGAGGGAUCUCCGUUUCACCUGGAAUAGGAGGUGACCAGACCGCCUGGCAGGUUCAUAAUCCUCCCUUGGGCUGGUGAGAAGGACCACCUUCAGAUGACCCUGGGGGGAUGGGGGGCCUCGGGGGUUCUGUGGAAGGAACUCCAGGUGGGGAGGGAGACUCCUCGCAGCAGGGCUUUUUUUCAGUGGGUCCGAUGAGGUGGCUCUGCCCCAGCUAAGCAGGGAGCGAUCAACAGGCCGCCGCAUUCCACACCGCUCGCCGGCCAACGUCAACAGCCGCGGGCAGCGAGAGCUCGGCGCGCUCGUGGCACAGUGCCGCACUGUCUGCGUAACCCGAACACGGAACCACGCUGCGUCUCAGUCCUCCACAAAACACCACAUGUGCCGCCGGAUUGACAAGAAACAACACUAUAACCUCAAUCCUGCGUUUUCCGCAAGACGUUUCUUUGGCUCCGGCUACUGCUGAUGCACGGUCAUGUACGGUGAAAAAUUAAUAAAUGGCCGUUGACCAAAAUCCCAUUUGGCCUAAGACAUUUCCA
This is a long non-coding RNA of Anguilla rostrata (American eel), 906 nucleotides long. RefSeq lists it as uncharacterized. Lineage: Eukaryota; Metazoa; Chordata; Actinopteri; Anguilliformes; Anguillidae. The record is from RefSeq and is a predicted model, not a curated record. The transcript has 2 exons.